AUGCAAGUCGAACGCGGAAGAAUCUCUCGGAAUUUUGAAGAGUGGCGAACGGGUGAGGAACACGUAAGAAUCUACCUUUCGGUUGGGGAUAACUCUGGAAACGGGAGCUAAUACCCAAUAUGCUGUGGAGUGAAAGAAUUUCGCCGAAAGACGAUCUUGCGUCUGAUUAGCUGGUUGGGGUGGUAAUGGCACACCAAGGCGAUGAUCAGUAGCUGGUCUGAGAGGAUGGACAGCCACAUUGGGACUGAGACACGGCCCAGACUCC
RNAcentral lists this ribosomal RNA (265 nucleotides) under unidentified marine bacterioplankton. RNAcentral describes it as "partial 16S ribosomal RNA". It matches the Rfam family "Bacterial small subunit ribosomal RNA", at positions 55 to 339 of the family's 1533-position model. The record is from RNAcentral.